RNAcentral lists this ribosomal RNA (1435 nucleotides) under uncultured organism. RNAcentral describes it as "16S ribosomal RNA". It matches the Rfam family "Bacterial small subunit ribosomal RNA". The record is from RNAcentral.
CAGGCUUAACACAUGCAAGUCGAGGGGCAGCAUUUUAGUUUGCUUGCAAACUGAAGAUGGCGACCGGCGCACGGGUGAGUAACACGUAUCCAACCUGCCGAUAACUCCGGAAUAGCCUUUCGAAAGAAAGAUUAAUACCGGAUAGCAUACGAAUAUCGCAUGAUAUUUUUAUUAAAGAAUUUCGGUUAUCGAUGGGGAUGCGUUCCAUUAGUUUGUUGGCGGGGUAACGGCCCACCAAGACUACGAUGGAUAGGGGUUCUGAGAGGAAGGUCCCCCACAUUGGAACUGAGACACGGUCCAAACUCCUACGGGAGGCAGCAGUGAGGAAUAUCGGUCAAUGGGCGAGAGCCUGAACCAGCCAAGUAGCGUGAAGGAUGAAGGCUCUAUGGGUCGUAAACUUCUUUUAUAUGGGAAUAAAGUUUUCCACGUGUGGAAUUUUGUAUGUACCAUAUGAAUAAGGAUCGGCUAACUCCGUGCCAGCAGCCGCGGUAAUACGGAGGAUCCGAGCGUUAUCCGGAUUUAUUGGGUUUAAAGGGAGCGUAGGUGGAUUGUUAAGUCAGUUGUGAAAGUUUGCGGCUCAACCGUAAAAUUGCAGUUGAAACUGGCAGUCUUGAGUACAGUAGAGGUGGGCGGAAUUCGUGGUGUAGCGGUGAAAUGCUUAGAUAUCACGAAGAACUCCGAUUGCGAAGGCAGCUCACUAGACUGUCACUGACACUGAUGCUCGAAAGUGUGGGUAUCGAACAGGAUUAGAUACCCUGGUAGUCCACACAGUAAACGAUGAAUACUCGCUGUUUGCGAUAUACAGUAAGCGGCCAAGCGAAAGCAUUAAGUAUUCCACCUGGGGAGUACGCCGGCAACGGUGAAACUCAAAGGAAUUGACGGGGGCCCGCACAAGCGGAGGAACAUGUGGUUUAAUUCGAUGAUACGCGAGGAACCUUACCCGGGCUUAAAUUGCAACAGAAUAUAUUGGAAACAGUAUAGCCGUAAGGCUGUUGUGAAGGUGCUGCAUGGUUGUCGUCAGCUCGUGCCGUGAGGUGUCGGCUUAAGUGCCAUAACGAGCGCAACCCUUAUCUUUAGUUACUAACAGGUUAUGCUGAGGACUCUAGAGAGACUGCCGUCGUAAGAUGUGAGGAAGGUGGGGAUGACGUCAAAUCAGCACGGCCCUUACGUCCGGGGCUACACACGUGUUACAAUGGGGGGUACAGAAGGCGGCUACCUGGUGACAGGAUGCUAAUCCCAAAAACCUCUCUCAGUUCGGAUCGAAGUCUGCAACCCGACUUCGUGAAGCUGGAUUCGCUAGUAAUCGCGCAUCAGCCAUGGCGCGGUGAAUACGUUCCCGGGCCUUGUACACACCGCCCGUCAAGCCAUGAAAGCCGGGGGUACCUGAAGUACGUAACCGCAAGGAGCGUCCUAGGGUAAAACUGGUAAUUGGGGC